GACGAACGCUGGCGGCGUGCUUAACACAUGCAAGUCGAACGAAGAGCGAUGGAAGCUUGCUUCUAUCAAUCUUAGUGGCGAACGGGUGAGUAACGCGUAAUCAACCUGCCCUUCAGAGGGGGACAACAGUUGGAAACGACUGCUAAUACCGCAUACGAUCUAAUCUCGGCAUCGAGGAUAGAUGAAAGGUGGCCUCUACAGGUAAGCUAUCACUGAAGGAGGGGAUUGCGUCUGAUUAGCAAGUUGGAGGGGUAACGGCCCACCAAGGCGAUGAUCAGUAGCCGGUCUGAGAGGAUGAACGGCCACAUUGGGACGGAGACACGGCCCAGACUCCUACGGGAGGCAGCAGUGGGGAAUCUUCCGCAAGGGACGAAAGUCUGACGGAGCAACGCCGCGUGAGUGAUGACGGCCUUCGGGUUGUAAAGCUCUGUUAAUCGGGACGAAAGGCCUUCUUGCGAAUAGGGAGAAGGAUUGACGGUACCGGAAGAGAAAGCCACGGCUAACUACGUG
This 510-nucleotide ribosomal RNA is filed under the name uncultured bacterium. RNAcentral's name for it is "partial 16S ribosomal RNA". It matches the Rfam family "Bacterial small subunit ribosomal RNA", at positions 28 to 507 of the family's 1533-position model. The record is from RNAcentral.